Molecule: ribosomal RNA, 463 nt
Filed under: uncultured bacterium
Lineage: Bacteria
Description: bacterial SSU rRNA
Rfam family: Bacterial small subunit ribosomal RNA
Source: RNAcentral
UGCAGUCGAACGGCAGCACGGGUGCUUGCACCUGGUGGCGAGUGGCGGACGGGUGAGUAAUACAUCGGAACGUGUCCUGAAGUGGGGGAUAACGCAUCGAAAGAUGUGCUAAUACCGCAUAUACUCUGAGGAGUAAAGUAGGGGAUCGAAAGACCUUAUGCUUUUGGAGCGGCCGAUGUCUGAUUAGCUAGUUGGUGGGGUAAUUGCCUACCAAGGCGACGAUCAGUAGUUGGUCUGAGAGGACGACCAGCCACACUGGGACUGAGACACGGCCCAGACUCCUACGGGAGGCAGCAGUGGGGAAUUUUGGACAAUGGGCGCAAGCCUGAUCCAGCAAUGCCGCGUGAGUGAAGAAGGCCUUCGGGUUGUAAAGCUCUUUCAGUUGAGAAGAAAAGAUUGUAACUAAUAAUUACAGUUCAUGACGGUAUCAACAGAAGAAGCACCGGCUAACUACGUGCCAGCA